GUAACGCGUAGGUAACCUGCCUUGUAGCGGGGGAUAACUAUUGGAAACGAUAGCUAAUACCGCAUAACAAUGGAUGACACAUGUCAUUUAUUUGAAAGGGGCAAUUGCUCCACUACAAGAUGGACCUGCGUUGUAUUAGCUAGUAGGUGAGGUAAUGGCUCACCUAGGCGACGAUACAUAGCCGACCUGAGAGGGUGAUCGGCCACA
RNAcentral lists this ribosomal RNA (207 nucleotides) under uncultured bacterium. RNAcentral describes it as "partial 16S ribosomal RNA". It matches the Rfam family "Bacterial small subunit ribosomal RNA", at positions 110 to 312 of the family's 1533-position model. The record is from RNAcentral.